Telopea speciosissima is the source of this 1790-nucleotide RNA transcript. RefSeq lists it as uncharacterized. The record is from RefSeq and is a predicted model, not a curated record. NCBI's taxonomy places the organism in Eukaryota, Viridiplantae, Streptophyta, Magnoliopsida, Proteales, Proteaceae. The transcript is spliced from 15 exons.
UUAGAUUUCCACGACCUGUGAGGAAGAACAACUGAAACGAAGAAAAAUCAAAAUCGCUUGAAGGAGCUCUGUAGGCUCGUAAUGGCAUCUUCGAAGUUCCUUGUUUUAUCGGUAUUCUUACUCCUCAUUUUCACGAAAACCACGGCCGAUGCAGAGACACAUGGUGAAAAUAUUGCAUCAGAGGUCUCCGAUUCGUCCCUGAAGAUCGAAUUGGAGCAGGUCAAGGCGAAGAUCUCUGUUCUGGAAUCUAGCAUUGAAGAGAAAACCCGAGAGUUGAAGAGCAAGGAUGAGAGCAUUGCUCAGAUGAAGAAGACCAUCCAGGAGAAGUCAGAUGGCAUUGUAUCAUUACAAAAUGAUAUAGAUUCACUCAAGAAAAAAGGUACUGUAGAUGCUGAGGAGCAGAUGGGGAAAGCACAUGCAUGGGCUGGUGAACUUGAGAAGCAGGUUGAGAAGCUUAAAAGAGAUCUCGAAGCACAGAAAAAUAAUAAAGAUACUUUGGAUGUGCGAGCAAGUGAAGCUGAAAAGAAAAUUGAUGUACUGAUUUCGAAAAUAGAAAAUCUCCAGAAGAUUAAUGAUGAACAGAAGACCAGAAUUCACAAAACUGAACGCGCUCUUCAAGUUGCUGAGGAGGAGAUGAUGAAGACAAAGUUUGAGGCCAAUUUGAAGAUCAAAGAGUUGAUGGAGGUUCAUGGUGCAUGGCUUCCCCCUUGGCUUGCAGGUCAUUUAGUUCAUUUUCAGUCUGUUGUGGCAGAACACUGGAAUGGGCAUGGGAAACCAGCAAUGGACAUUGUGGUCAAAAAGGCAUUGGAGAAAAAAGCUCAAGCUCAGAACUGGGCUGAACCCCAUAUUGAAUUGGUUAAAAGUAGAUGGAUCCCAACUCUGAAGGAACAAUGGUUGACAAUUACAACACAUGUUGAACCACGCAUCCAAUUAUUAACCAAGAGAAGCAUGAAGUUCUAUGAGACAUCUAAAAGCACCAUAGCACCAUAUGUGGUUAAAGUACAAGAAUUUGCUGAUCCUUACUUUCAGGACGCCAAGAAGUUUACCAAACCGUACAUCGAUCAGGUUGCCACUGCAGCAAAACCUCAUGUUGAUAAAGUGCGGGUUGCCUUGAAACCAUAUACGAAAAAGGUAGUUCACAGUUAUGGCAAAUUCCUUGAGUCAGCAACCACUCACCACCGCCAGGUUCAAGAUUCUGUACGGGAAACACUGAAAAAGCAUGAAUUAACGAGACAUCUUGCAACUAAAGAGCUGGUGUGGUUUGCGGCCUCUGCUUUACUAGCUCUUCCAAUAAUAAUCCUAACCAGACUGCUUUCAGGCACUUUUGGUGGGAAGGCAAAGAAAUCUGCUCGGAAUGCGCAUACUGGCCAGACACGCCGUAGAGCUAAACGGGGCCAUCCUGACAAGUAGAGUACCGUGGGUAUUGGGAUGUAGAUUCUUUAUUGCAUGUCAAAUUCAAGGGGGGUAUUCUAUCUUUUCUACUCUUCCUCAACAUCAGCUUAGUUGCAGAAAGAGCAUAGCUUCCAUAGUGGUGAAAAACUUCCAAUUCCAUCAAACCUUGAGGGCUGCUUGAUAAAAAACUCUGGAGGAUACGUGAUAUUUGACUUGUAUGAUGUAGGAAAAAUAUGCGAGUUAAUGAGAGGAAAAGACGAGGGGAAGAGUGGAAAAUUUUGUUCUCUUUGAUAUUGCUCUUGAUAACAGUCCACAUAUAAUCUGCCUUUUGAGAUUUGUUGUAGACUUUAAAUUCUUCUGACUUAUUUUUUACACACAGGAUACAUUAGUGAAGUUUU